Molecule: ribosomal RNA, 372 nt
Filed under: uncultured organism
Description: partial 16S ribosomal RNA
Rfam family: Bacterial small subunit ribosomal RNA
Source: RNAcentral
GUAGGUGGCAAGCGUUGUCCGGAAUUAUUGGGCGUAAAGCGCGCGCAGGCGGUUCUUUAAGUCUGAUGUGAAAGCCCACGGCUCAACCGUGGAGGGUCAUUGGAAACUGGAGAACCUGAGUACAGAAGAGGAAAGCGGAAUUCCACGUGUAGCGGUGAAAUGCGUAGAGAUGUGGAGGAACACCAGUGGCGAAGGCGGCUUUCUGGUCUGUAACUGACGCUGAGGCGCGAAAGCGUGGGGAGCAAACAGGAUUAGAUACCCUGGUAGUCCACGCCGUAAACGAUGAGUGCUAAGUGUUAGGGGGUUUCCGCCCCCCUUAGUGCUGCAGCUAACGCAUUAAGCACUCCGCCUGGGAGUACGGCCGCAAGGCUG